CCUAAAAGUACAUAACUUUAAUGUGUAUGUGUAUGGAUGUUGUGUUGAUUUGUAGUUUAUUUGUUGAGUAUGGGUGUUAAUAAUAUGUACGAUAAUGUGUGACCAAAAUUUGCAUUAAAUGUAACAGUCAAUGAAUAUAUGUGCAGGACUUAUUCUUAUUAAGAUGAGCUGAUAAAAGGGAGGAUGGCAGAGACAGACUCACCGUAUGCGAGAGACGAGGCAGAGGUUGAAGCCGACUCUGGGAUGCAGCUGGAUAACGGUGCCAACAGCAAUGAGGAGAAUGGAGAUCCUGACACAGAGGGAGGCAUUGACGGGGCUCUCAACACUAACUAUGAUUCGUGUGAUGGAGCAAUACCGGUACAUCGUUGUGAACGUUGUGAGAAUUACGAAACACUCAGUCACUCGGCCCUGCUCGCGCACAUGACGCAGUGUCAGGGGCCGGCAGACGGUGACCCGCGCAAUCGCAAGAUGUUUGAAUGCGAUGUCUGCAACAUGAAAUUCUCCAAUGGUGCCAACAUGAGGCGCCACAAGAUGCGACACACAGGAGUCAAGCCCUACGAGUGUCGAGUGUGCCAAAAACGUUUCUUCAGGAAGGACCACCUCGCAGAACACUUUACCACUCACACCAAGACUCUGCCCUAUCACUGUCCAAUUUGUAAUCGAGGAUUCCAGCGGCAAAUAGCAAUGCGGGCGCACUUCCAGAAUGAACAUGUCGGUCAGCACGACAUGAUCAAGUCCUGUCCCCUGUGCAGUUAUAGAGCCAACUCUAUGAAGAGUUUGCGUGUCCACUUUUUUAACAGGCAUGGCAUAGACUUGGACAAUCCUGGUCCAUCUACAGGCAAUGGUACAGCAGAGAGCAGUGUGAGUGCAGGUGGUUGUAGUGACAGCGGAGACAGUACGGGGGCGAGGUCGGCAGACAAUGCCACCCCACCCAUGCACUUCCUUACUCCCCAUGUAGAAAUAUCCAUGACAGAUCCAGUACCAACUCACCCAACUCAAUACUCGCCCUCUCAGGUGAUAGAACAGUCAGCAGCAAAUUGCCUGACAGUGAAUGGUGGUGGACAGCUACCACAAGAGGGCAGCACUGCGGGAGAUUGUCCAGGAUCCCCUCAGUCGGCUGAUUCCAACUCCAACACUCCCUCCAGCAGUGUGCGGGUCGAGCAAGAUGUCACUCCUUCUGUGUCUCUCAUUCCCAUCAAGCAGGAGCCUGAAGACGAUAAGAGAUUGUCGGAACCCAUCCGUCUACAAGCUACGUCCAGUAGCUACUCGUCCACUCUCAUCAAGGUGUCACCGCUGAAGUCCCUGCUAAGAGAUGAUCUCAAGAGGCGAGGCACCGCAGUGACUCUGGGACGUGCCCGACCAGAUGGCUCACCUUCCACACCUCUUCCGGAGUCUAAUGGCAGCUCCUCCCCGGACUGGAGGUGUGCUCCACUCAAGCGUACUUCAGCUUCACUCCAGUGUGUCUUCUGUGGCAUCGGCUUUCCGGAUCAGACGCUUUACUUCUUGCAUAAAGGAUGCCACUCGGAGUCCAACCCCUGGAAAUGCAACAUCUGUGGCGAGCAGUGCUGCAACGUCUAUGACUUCAAUUCUCAUCUGCUCAGUAAAACACAUCAGUAAACCGAUUAUUGGUGAUUAUUUAUAUCUUUGUACAGGAGAAGUUGUGCUAAUAUCCAUUCUGAUGCUUUGGAAAAAAUCCAACUCCACUACAGAACGAGUUUGAAUCAAAAUUAAUUCUGGAAUAUUUUUUAUUCUUUAUCGUGAGACAUUUUUGGGAUUCUGUUCAUGAAUUUUAACAACUUUAUAAAGGAAUUACUUCAAAAUAAGUAACCAGCUACCACGAGGCCAGGUACGGACACAGAUCCCCCUCCUCUACCUCCUACGCCCUUGCACUUCCUAGCCUGUACCCAACACGACACUGAGCUCAGUAACUUUGUUUUUAGAGAACUUAUUGAAUAAUAUUAAAUGUAUUUAUUACAGUACAGAUCAUUGAAUAAUAAUAUUUCUUAAUAA
Molecule: unclassified non-coding RNA, 2010 nt
Filed under: Homalodisca vitripennis (glassy-winged sharpshooter)
Lineage: Eukaryota; Metazoa; Arthropoda; Insecta; Hemiptera; Cicadellidae
Description: zinc finger protein ztf-16, transcript variant X2
Source: RNAcentral